ACGGGAGGCAGCAGUGGGGAAUAUUGGACAAUGGGCGAAAGCCUGAUCCAGCGACGCCGCGUGAGUGAAGAAGUAUUUCGGUAUGUAAAGCUCUAUCAGCAGGGAAGAUAAUGACGGUACCUGACUAAGAAGCCCCGGCUAACUACGUGCCAGCAGCCGCGGUAAUACGUAGGAGGCAAGCGUUAUCCGGAUUUACUGGGUGUAAAGGGAGCGUAGACGGUAUGGCAAGUCUGAUGUGAAAACCCAGGGCUCAACCCUUGGACUGCAUUGGAAACUGUCAAACUAGAGUGCCGGAGAGGUAAGUGGAAUUCCUAGUGUAGCGGUGAAAUGCGUAGAUAUUAGGAGGAACACCAGUGGCGAAGGCGGCUUACUGGACUGUAACUGACGUUGAGGCUCGAAAGCGUGGGGAGCAAACAGGAUUAGAUACCCUGGUA
RNAcentral lists this ribosomal RNA (434 nucleotides) under uncultured Lachnospiraceae bacterium. Its description in RNAcentral is "partial 16S ribosomal RNA". It matches the Rfam family "Bacterial small subunit ribosomal RNA", at positions 341 to 792 of the family's 1533-position model. The record is from RNAcentral. Lineage: Bacteria; Bacillati; Bacillota; Clostridia; Lachnospirales; Lachnospiraceae.